CAGCUCCAAACUGCCCUGGUUCUCGUGGAAAGUACCUACAGAGGCACUGUCCCUGUUCCACUAGGAUUGGAACUGCAGAGAUGUCAAAGGAGAGCUCAUCGAAAUGAAAGAAACUUCAACAUCAGAGCCUUGGGAAUGUAUGUCUACACUUUGAGGUGGAUAAUGAGGAGCCUCACACUCAUAGGCAAGUGGGCGAUGGCAACAGACCCUCUCCUUCCUCCAUGGAAGACUGGAGAGUCCCUCAGGUGAACAAGGAACCGACAUUCCACUCUGGGCAUUGGGGAAUAUUCUCUUGUCUCCAGCCUGCCAAUCCUGACUACAGGCCCCUCCAGGCCUCUUUUCCUCACAACCCACCCCCAUCUCUUGCCAGUGUGGGUUGCUCAGAUCCACCAAGAAACCGUCAGCAUUUUGCUUUCUUUCUUUCUCCAGCAUAAACUUGACUCAACUCA
Molecule: long non-coding RNA, 449 nt
Organism: Mastomys coucha (southern multimammate mouse)
Lineage: Eukaryota; Metazoa; Chordata; Mammalia; Rodentia; Muridae
Exons: 3
Source: RefSeq, a predicted model, not a curated record